AACGAACGCUGGCGGCAUGCCUAACACAUGCAAGUCGAACGAGACCUCCCUGCCUUUUUGCGGAGGGCUGCGUAACACCUGGUAAGCUGCCCUUAGGUUCCGUAUAACUCCCUUUAAGGGGACCUAAUACCAGAUAAUGUCUUCCGACCAAAGAUGUAUGGCCUUUGGGUGGGGCCGCGUUGGAUUGGCGAGUUGGUAGGGUAAAAGCCGGCCAAGGCGACGAUCCAUAGCUGGUCUGAGAGGAUGAUCAGCCACACUGGGACUCAGGCACGGCCCAGACUCCGACGCAAGGCAGCAGUGGGGAAUAUAGGAGGAUGGACGAAGACCUGGUCAAGCAGUGCCGGGUGAGUGAUGAAGGCCGUAGGGUUGUAAAGCUCUUUUACACGAGAUGAUAAUGACGGUACCGGGAGAAUAAGCUCCGGCUAACUCCGUG
RNAcentral lists this ribosomal RNA (433 nucleotides) under uncultured bacterium. Its description in RNAcentral is "partial 16S ribosomal RNA". It matches the Rfam family "Bacterial small subunit ribosomal RNA", at positions 29 to 507 of the family's 1533-position model. The record is from RNAcentral.